UAUGGCCAUAUCAUGUUGAAACACCGGUUCCCAUACGAUCACCAAAGUUAAGCAAUAUCAAGCCUGGUCAGUACCUAGAUGAGUGACCACUUGGGAAUAGUAGGU
Acanthosepion pharaonis is the source of this 105-nucleotide non-coding RNA. NCBI's taxonomy places the organism in Eukaryota, Metazoa, Mollusca, Cephalopoda, Sepiida, Sepiidae. The record is from the annotation of a GenBank genome assembly.